Molecule: ribosomal RNA, 935 nt
Filed under: Lophiostoma tropicum
Lineage: Eukaryota; Fungi; Ascomycota; Dothideomycetes; Pleosporales; Lophiostomataceae
Description: SSU rRNA
Rfam family: Eukaryotic small subunit ribosomal RNA
Source: RNAcentral
UUAUCGUUUAUUUGAUAGUACCUUACUACUUGGAUAACCGUGGUAAUUCUAGAGCUAAUACAUGCUGAAAACCCUGACUUCGGAAAGGGUGUAUUUAUUAGAUAAAAAACCAAUGCCCUUUGGGCUCUUUGGUGAUUCAUGAUAACUUAACGGAUCGCAUGGCCUUGCGCCGGCGACGGUUCAUUCAAAUUUCUGCCCUAUCAACUUUCGAUGGUAAGGUAUUGGCUUACCAUGGUUUCAACGGGUAACGGGGAAUUAGGGUUCGAUUCCGGAGAGGGAGCCUGAGAAACGGCUACCACAUCCAAGGAAGGCAGCAGGCGCGCAAAUUACCCAAUCCCGACACGGGGAGGUAGUGACAAUAAAUACUGAUACAGGGCUCUUUUGGGUCUUGUAAUCGGAAUGAGUACAAUUUAAACCUCUUAACGAGGAACAAUUGGAGGGCAAGUCUGGUGCCAGCAGCCGCGGUAAUUCCAGCUCCAAUAGCGUAUAUUAAAGUUGUUGCAGUUAAAAAGCUCGUAGUUGAAUCUUGGGCCUGGCUGGCCGGUCCGCCUCACCGCGUGUACUGGUCUGGCCGGGCCUUUCCUUCUGGAGAACCUCAUGCCCUUCAGUGGGUGUGUUGGGGAACCAGGACUUUUACUUUGAAAAAAUUAGAGUGUUCAAAGCAGGCCUUUGCUCGAAUACGUUAGCAUGGAAUAAUAGAAUAGGACGUGCGGUCCUAUUUUGUUGGUUUCUAGGACCGCCGUAAUGAUUAAUAGGGAUAGUCGGGGGCAUCAGUAUUCAAUUGUCAGAGGUGAAAUUCUUGGAUUUAUUGAAGACUAACUACUGCGAAAGCAUUUGCCAAGGAUGUUUUCAUUAAUCAGUGAACGAAAGUUAGGGGAUCGAAGACGAUCAGAUACCGUCGUAGUCUUAACCGUAAACUAUGCCGACUAGGGAUC